CAGCCGCCGCGGUAAUACGUAGGGUGCGAGCUUUAAUCGGAUUUACUGGGCGUAAAGCGUGCGCAGGCGGCCCGUUAAGACAGGUGUGAAAUCCCUGGGCUCAACCUAGGAAUUGCGCUUGUGACUGGCGGGCUCGAGUACGGUAGAGGGGGGUGGAAUUCCUGGUGUAGCAGUGAAAUGCGUAGAGAUCAGGAGGAACACCGAUGGCGAAGGCAGCCCCCUGGGCCUGUACUGACGCUCAUGCACGAAAGCGUGGGGAGCAAACAGGAUUAGAUACCCGGGUAGUCCACGCCCUAAACGAUGGGUACUAGCCGUUUGGUGCGCGAUAGCGCUGAGUGGCGAAGCUAACGCGUGAAGUACCCCGCCUGGGGAGUACGGCCGCAAGGUUGAAACUUAAAGGAAUUGGCGGG
RNAcentral lists this ribosomal RNA (410 nucleotides) under uncultured microorganism. RNAcentral's name for it is "bacterial SSU rRNA". It matches the Rfam family "Bacterial small subunit ribosomal RNA", at positions 509 to 917 of the family's 1533-position model. The record is from RNAcentral.